RNAcentral lists this ribosomal RNA (435 nucleotides) under uncultured bacterium. RNAcentral's name for it is "bacterial SSU rRNA". It matches the Rfam family "Bacterial small subunit ribosomal RNA", at positions 957 to 1392 of the family's 1533-position model. The record is from RNAcentral.
UAACGCCAAGAACCUUACCACCUUUUGACAUGCCCGGACCGCCACAGAGAUGUGGCUUUCCCUUCGGGGACUGGGACACAGGUGCUGCAUGGCUAUCGUCAGCUCGUGUCGUGAGAUGUUGGGUUAAGUCCCGCAACGAGCGCAACCCUCGCUGUUAGUUGCUACCAGGUUUGGCUGGGCACUCUAACAGGACCGCCGGUGGUAAGCCGGAGGAAGGUGGGGAUGACGUCAAGUCCUCAUGGCCCUUACAGGGUGGGCUACACACGUGCUACAAUGGCGACUACAGAGGGCUGCAAUCCCGCGAGGGGGAGCCAAUCCCUAAAAGUCGUCUCAGUUCGGAUUGCACUCUGCAACUCGAGUGCAUGAAGUUGGAAUCGCUAGUAAUCGCGGAUCAGCAUGCCGCGGUGAAUACGUUCCCGGGCCUUGUACACACCG